Molecule: long non-coding RNA, 1046 nt
Filed under: Gossypium barbadense (sea-island cotton)
Lineage: Eukaryota; Viridiplantae; Streptophyta; Magnoliopsida; Malvales; Malvaceae
Description: long non-coding RNA (GBAR_LNC017638)
Source: RNAcentral
ACCAAAUUAACUCAUUUCAUCUUCUCUCCCAUCGAACCAAAAGAGAAAGAAAGGAGAAAAACUUUCCCAAAUUCAUCUUUAUUGUCAAACCAAAUUAUUGAGACAACGCUGGGACAUUAAAGGUUAAAGGGAAGAUGAGGGUCGUAGACAGAUAACCUUAAUUCGGUAUGUGUUAACUUAAUAUAUUCUUAUUCCAUGUUUAACUUGAUGUUUAAUUGUUGAUUCAAAUUUAUCAUAAUUGAAAGCAUGACUUAACUUAUAUGUUUGUUUAUGAUCAUAGUUAAUGACAAUCCAAGGUAUGAUAAGUGAACAGGUAAGUUACUAUGCUUUAUGCUAUGUUUCAAAUAAGAUGGUUAUUAAGUGCUAUAGUUAUUAAAUCAGUGAUAUAAAGUUGUGAUGGAAACUAAAGUAAUGCUAAUUAAGCUAGAUGUUUUUGAACAAUAAUUGAUGUCAUGAAAGAAUAGAAGUGAAAUAAAAACAACAUCAUGAAACAUAUUAAAUUACUUGGGACAUGAGAUUGAGAUGCAAUUCUGGAAGGCACAUUGAUAUAUGGUAAUGUAUGAAGUAGGAAUUUUAAUGUGUUAAGUCGAAUCAAUUCGAUAAUUAGACUUUAAUACUAUUGUUAUGUGUCAUUGUUUUAUGUUUACCUCUUUAAUUCAAAUUAUGAUAACACUACUGAACUUCUUUGCUCAACGUUCAAUUUUAUUUAUCUCUGUAUGUAGGUUUUGACUAGAUCUCAAUAAUGAAGAGGUCGGCAGCAUUCAGGACUCAAAUUCCAACUCAACAAAGUUUUUUUUUAUAGUUUUGUUCCAUUUUGAAGCAAGUUGGCAUGUACCUAAAGUUGUUAUUUGGUCUGGAGUCCAUAUUAACUUUUUAGUACCUAUAAGCUAAUGGCUUGUGAUUAAAGUGUGGUUAUAUUUGUAUAAUGAUAAGUAAUCAUGUAAUGCUAUACCUAUGAUGAAAUACAUGAACUUAAUGACAUGUUUAAGUUAUGUUUGGUGUCUUACUUACAUGCCAAGUAAAUGGAAUUGAUGCAAUAAAUUGUG